GAAGGGACCUAGCGUAGUUCGGAAUUACUGGGCUUAAAGAGUUCGUAGGUGGUUAAAAAAGUUGGUGGUGAAAUCCCAGAGCUUAACUCUGGAACUGCCAUCAAAACUUUUUAGCUAGAGUAUGAUAGAGGAAAGUAGAAUUUCUAGUGUAGAGGUGAAAUUCGUAGAUAUUAGAAAGAAUACCGAUUGCGAAGGCAGCUUUCUGGAUCAUUACUGACACUGAGGAACGAAAGCAUGGGUAGCGAAGAGGAUUAGAUACCCUCGUAGUCCAUGCCGUAAACGAUGUGUGUUAGACGUUGGAAAUUUAUUUUCAGUGUCGCAGCGAAAGCAGUAAACACACCGCCUGGGGAGUACGACCGCAAGGUUAAAACUCAAAUGAAUUGACGGGGACCCGCACAAGUAGUGGAGCAUGUGGUUUAAUUCGAAGAUACGCGCAGAACCUUACCAACACUUGACAUGUUCGUCGCGACUCUAAGAGAUUAGAGUUUUCGGUUCGGCCGGACGAAACACAGGUGCUGCAUGGCUGUCGUCAGCUCGUGUCGUGAGAUGUUGGGUUAAGUCCCGCAACGAGCGCAACCCUCACUUUUAGUUGCCAUCAUUAGGUUGGGCACUCUGAAAGAACUGCCAGUGAUAAGCUGGAGGAAGGUGGGGAUGACGUCAAGUCCUCAUGGGCCCUUAUGUGUUGGGCUACACACGUGCUACAAUGGCAUUUACAUAG
Molecule: ribosomal RNA, 718 nt
Filed under: uncultured organism
Description: bacterial SSU rRNA
Rfam family: Bacterial small subunit ribosomal RNA
Source: RNAcentral